Long non-coding RNA from Oncorhynchus tshawytscha (Chinook salmon), 875 nucleotides. RefSeq lists it as uncharacterized. NCBI's taxonomy places the organism in Eukaryota, Metazoa, Chordata, Actinopteri, Salmoniformes, Salmonidae. The record is from RefSeq and is a predicted model, not a curated record. The transcript is spliced from 2 exons.
GUCAGAACACUGACAGCGAAUUUAGUUGGUUGUCAUAGCAACAUACAAACCUUUUUUCAGUUGACUGGCUAAAUCGAACUUUGUUGCGAAAACUAAAACGGAUGAGUGGAACAUGUAUUUUGAUCUUUUCGACGGCAUUACUAUGGAUGAAUGGGAAAAAGAGAUGGCAAUAAUACCAAUGCAUGCAGAUUUGGAGGAUACUGCAUUGAAUGACCUAGACUAGAGAAAAGCCUCAACGGGGGAAAAACACAAUUUAAGAACACAAACUGGGCUGUGCGUUGCUUCGGGGGCUGGCUAGCAGAGAAGAACGUUGUUGACUUCAAAACUGUCACGAAGGAAAAGUUUUAACAUCCUUCUCCGACAGUUUUAUGGAAAUGUACGAAUUGGGAAGGGGGAGCAGUGUAGCCUAAGUAGCUACCUGGCACUCCGUAGUGGGCUCAACCGGUUUCUAAAUGACCCACCCAUCGGUCGCAACUGGUGUCUCGAAUCAUGUAUUUCAGGGCAACAUCAAACAGCUAAGAACGCAAGGAAAAUAUGUCACAAACAGCCACCCUCCAUUCACCGAUAAGGACAUGGCCCAGCUCCAAAACUCCCAGGCUCUGAAUCCCGGUACACCAUGCGGUCUGGUCCAGAAAGUGUGGUUCAACCUCCAGUUACAUCUGGGUCGAAUAGGAAAAGAGGGGAACAGACAACUAAACGGACUAAGAUACGCCACUCUCGCAUAUAACGAGGCCACAAAGAAUCAUCUGGGCCCAAGGGAGACACCGGUGCCAAUAUAUCCAACAAACACCGUUUUCUUCGGCAUUAUCACUUAAGUCAGCUGUGGUGGAUAAAGUGAAUGUAUGGUUUCAUUUAUUAAAAUCAGCUCAAAUGAA